Molecule: long non-coding RNA, 452 nt
Organism: Cercocebus atys (sooty mangabey)
Lineage: Eukaryota; Metazoa; Chordata; Mammalia; Primates; Cercopithecidae
Exons: 2
Source: RefSeq, a predicted model, not a curated record
UUGGAGGUCUGGGAGGGGCUGAAUGUGGUGAAGACAGGCCGAGUCAUGCUCGGGGAGACCAACCCUGCGGACUCCAAGCCUGGGACCAUCCGUGGCGACUUCUGCAUACAAGUUGGCAGGAACAUUAUACAUGGCAGUGAUUCCGUGGAGAGUGCAGAGAAGGAGAUCGGCUUGUGGUUUCACCCUGAGGAACUGGUAGAUUACAUGAGCUGUGCUCAGAACUGGAUCUAUGAAUGACAGGAGAGCAGGCCACAAUGCUUUCACAUCCAUUUCUCCUCCUUCCCACGGGCAGAGGACCAGGCCCUAGGAAAUCUAGUUAUUUAAAGGAACUUCGUCAUAAUUUGGAAGGAAGUUCUUGGAGCUGUGAGUGCUCCCUGUACAGUGUUACCAUCCCCUACCAUCUGAUUAAAAUGCUUCCUCCCAACUUAGGAUUCAUUGAGUUGGUUACUUUG